Molecule: transfer RNA, 55 nt
Filed under: Ascaridia sp. GHL-2013
Lineage: Eukaryota; Metazoa; Nematoda; Chromadorea; Rhabditida; Ascaridiidae
Description: tRNA-Cys
Source: RNAcentral
GGGUUUUUAGUAUAUUUUAGUAUUUCUGAUUGCAGAUCGGAAGGGGAAAAGCCUU